GCCUGUUUAUCAAAAACAUGUCUUUUAGUAAUUAAGUUAAAGUCUAACCUGCCCACUGAUAUAUUAAAUGGCCGCAGUAUUUUAACUGUGCAAAGGUAGCAUAAUCAUUAGUCUUUUAAUUGAAGGCUAGUAUGAAUGGUUGAACGAAAUAUUAACUGUUUCAUAUAAAUUAAAUAGAAUUUUAUUUUUUAGUUAAAAAGCUAAAAUAUAAUUAAAAGACGAGAAGACCCUAUAGAUCUUUAUAGUUUACAUAUAUUUUUUAUUUAGUAUUAUUUUAAUAUUAUAUUUAAAUAUAUUUUAUUGGGGUGAUAGUAAAAUUUAAAUAACUUUUAUAUUUUUAAUACAUUAAUUUAUGAUUAAUUGAUCCAUUUUUAUUGAUUAUUAAAUUAAGUUACCUUAGGGAUAACAGCGUAAUUUUUUUAGAGAGUUCAUAUCGAUAAAAAAUAUUGCGACCUCGAUGUUGGAUUAAGAUAUUAGUUUAGGAGUAGAAAUUUAAAUAAUAGGUCUGUUCGACCUUUAAAAUCUUACAUGAUCUGAGUUCAAACC
This 546-nucleotide ribosomal RNA is filed under the name Dialysis sp. SLW-2002. RNAcentral's name for it is "partial 16S ribosomal RNA". It matches the Rfam family "Bacterial large subunit ribosomal RNA", at positions 1798 to 2617 of the family's 2925-position model. Lineage: Eukaryota; Metazoa; Arthropoda; Insecta; Diptera; Xylophagidae. The record is from RNAcentral.